CCUACGGGGUGCAGCAGUGAGGAAUAUUGGUCAAUGGGCGCGAGCCUGAACCAGCCAAGUAGCGUGAAGGAUGACUGCCCUACGGGUUGUAAACUUCUUUUAUAAAGGAAUAAAGUGAGGCACGUGUGCCUUUUUGUAUGUACUUUAUGAAUAAGGAUCGGCUAACUCCGUGCCAGCGGCAGCGGUAAUACGGAGGAUCCGAGCGUUAUCCGGGUUUAUUGGGUUUAAAGGGUGCGUAGUUGGGUUGUUAAGUCAGUUGUGAAAGUUUGCGGCUCAACCGUAAAAGUGCAAUUGAUACUGGCAGCCUUGAGUACAGUUGAGGUAGGCGGAAUUCGUGGUGGAGCGGUGAAAUGCUUAGAUAUCACGAAGAACUCCGAUUGCGAAGGCAGCUUACUAAACUGCCACUGACAUUGAUGCUCGAAAGUGUGGGUAUCAAACAGGAUUAGAUACCCGGGUAGUC
Molecule: ribosomal RNA, 460 nt
Filed under: uncultured bacterium
Lineage: Bacteria
Description: partial 16S ribosomal RNA
Rfam family: Bacterial small subunit ribosomal RNA
Source: RNAcentral